Molecule: ribosomal RNA, 400 nt
Filed under: uncultured bacterium
Lineage: Bacteria
Description: partial 16S ribosomal RNA
Rfam family: Bacterial small subunit ribosomal RNA
Source: RNAcentral
AAUAUUGCACAAUGGGCGAAAGCCUGAUGCAGCAACGCCGCGUGAGCGAUGAAGGCCUUUGGGUCGUAAAGCUCUGUCCUUGGGGAAGAAGAAAUGACGGUACCCUUGGAGGAAGCCCCGGCUAACUACGUGCCAGCAGCCGCGGUAAUACGUAGGGGGCAAGCGUUAUCCGGAAUGAUUGGGCGUAAAGGGUGCGUAGGUGGUUUUGUAAGCGAGGGGUGAAAGGCAAUGGCUCAACCAUUGUAAGCCUUGCGAACUGAAAGACUUGAGUGCAGGAGAGGAAAGUGGAAUUCCUAGUGUGGCGGUGAGAUGCGUAGAUAUUAGGAGGAACACCAGUGGCGAAGGCGACUUUCUGGACUGUAACUGACACUGAGGCACGAAAGCGUGGGGGGCAAACAGG